UACGUAGGGUGCGAGCGUUAAUCGGAAUUACUGGGCGUAAAGCGUGCGCAGGCGGCUACUCAAGUCAGAUGUGAAAUCCCCGGGCUUAACCUGGGAACUGCGUUUGAAACUGGGUAGCUGGAGUGCGGCAGAGGGGGGUGGAAUUCCACGUGUAGCAGUGAAAUGCGUAGAUAUGUGGAGGAACACCGAUGGCGAAGGCAGCCCCCUGGGCCUGCACUGACGCUCAUGCACGAAAGCGUGGGGAGCAAACAGG
This 253-nucleotide ribosomal RNA is filed under the name uncultured bacterium. RNAcentral's name for it is "partial 16S ribosomal RNA". It matches the Rfam family "Bacterial small subunit ribosomal RNA", at positions 524 to 776 of the family's 1533-position model. The record is from RNAcentral.